GUUCCCAUGUCCGCACGGGAGACCAAAACAAUCACCAAAAAAGGGCAGUUUGAAGCAGUGAAUCUUGAGAUAUUUGAAAGUAAAAGUUCAGCCCUGAAAUCAAUCAAUGGAGAGCCUCCCUAUCUCAACCUGGCAUGUGAAGUUGAUGGUCAGAAAUGGCAGACCCGCGUCCUGGUCUCCAAACACAGUGGCUACAUCUUUAUUCAGAC
Molecule: long non-coding RNA, 209 nt
Organism: Sinocyclocheilus rhinocerous
Lineage: Eukaryota; Metazoa; Chordata; Actinopteri; Cypriniformes; Cyprinidae
Exons: 2
Source: RefSeq, a predicted model, not a curated record